This 468-nucleotide ribosomal RNA is filed under the name uncultured bacterium. Its description in RNAcentral is "partial 16S ribosomal RNA". It matches the Rfam family "Bacterial small subunit ribosomal RNA", at positions 28 to 507 of the family's 1533-position model. The record is from RNAcentral.
GACGAACGCUGGCGGCGUGCUUAACACAUGCAAGUCGAACGGAAAGGCCCUGCUUUUGUGGGGUGCUCGAGUGGCGAACGGGUGAGUAACACGUGAGUAACCUGCCCUUGACUUUGGGAUAACUUCAGGAAACUGGGGCUAAUACCGGAUAGGAGCUCCUGCUGCAUGGUGGGGGUUGGAAAGUUUCGGCGGUUGGGGAUGGACUCGCGGCUUAUCAGCUUGUUGGUGGGGUAGUGGCUUACCAAGGCUUUGACGGGUAGCCGGCCUGAGAGGGUGACCGGCCACAUUGGGCCUGAGAUACGGCCCAGACUCCUACGGGAGGCAGCAGUGGGGAAUAUUGCACAAUGGGCGGAAGCCUGAUGCAGCAACGCCGCGUGCGGGAUGACGGCCUUCGGGUUGUAAACCGCUUUCGCCUGUGACGACGCGUGAGUGACGGUAAUGGGUAAAGAAGCACCGGCUAACUACGUG